RNAcentral lists this long non-coding RNA (772 nucleotides) under Junco hyemalis (dark-eyed junco). RNAcentral's name for it is "lncRNA (ENSJHYG00000006203.1)". Lineage: Eukaryota; Metazoa; Chordata; Aves; Passeriformes; Passerellidae. The record is from RNAcentral.
CGGGGUCUCCUGGGUGGGAGAGGGGGGGCUGGGGGCGAUCGUGCCGGGCAACAAAGCUCCGCUGAUCUCAUCUGCUGCCUACGCAAAAUCUUGUUCUCGUUCCCCAAGGAUCCAGGAUUAGAGCAGAAUCAUCGCAGAUCUCGCUCCCGCCCAGACGACCAUGGGUAAGAUGGGAGGUUCCUGGGGUGCGAGCCUGGGUACUGAGUGGGGCACAGGAACCCUGGGGUUCGCCCCUGCUCCCCUCUCCUCCCGGAGGGCUGAAGCAGAGCUGCUGCUGCCUCUGGGACCCUGCCCUGCCCCGCACAGGGCACGGGGCUCCAGCUGAGAGGGGCUUUAUUGCCCACACUGCUGCCCUUCUGCCCUUUUCCUUCUUAGGUACACGGGUAGUCGCCGUUGCCAUCAUCACUCUGCUCAUCACUGGAUCUACAAUUGGAGGAGCAGCAGCAAAGGAUCGCAAAUCUGAGAACUGAGGAGACCCUCAGUGGGGUGCAGCCUUCCAGGUGCUACCACAGCCCAAACCAAUGAGCCUCGAUUGCAUCCUGGAGCAUCCCAUCACCCACAAAGGGCAGCCACCCCCAAAACACCAUCCUGAGCAUCCUCCACAAAUGAAGGGCGCUGGGUCUGACACAUGCAUGGAUUGGCCAUGGGUGUGAACACGAGGAGCUCCGUGCUCAGUGGUGGCUGUGAGCGCAGGGGCCAUCUAAGCAGUACAGGACACAGACUGGGCUGACACGUGCCCUGUGUCCUGUGCUGUUCAAGGUAGGUGGGUGUG